UACAGAGGUCCCAAGCGUUGUUCGGAUUCAUUGGGCGUAAAGGGUGCGUAGGAGGGCAGGUAAGUCAGUGGUGAAAUCUCCAAGCUUAACUUGGAAACUGCCGUUGAUACUAUCUGUCUUGAAUAUUGUGGAGGUGAGCGGAAUAUGUCAUGUAGCGGUGAAAUGCUUAGAUAUGACAUAGAACACCAAUUGCGAAGGCAGCUCACUACACAAUCAUUGACUCUGAGGCACGAAAGCGUGGGGAUCAAACAGG
This 253-nucleotide ribosomal RNA is filed under the name uncultured bacterium. RNAcentral's name for it is "partial 16S ribosomal RNA". It matches the Rfam family "Bacterial small subunit ribosomal RNA", at positions 524 to 776 of the family's 1533-position model. The record is from RNAcentral.